GCCCAACAGCUAGCCCUCACCACCAAAAACAACAAACCCCUAUUUAUAACCCCAAAAACACUACCAACCAAAAAACAAACCAUUUUACCUGCCCGAGUAUAGGCGAUAGAAAAGGAACCGUGGCGCAAUAGAAAAAGUACCGCAAGGGAACGCUGAAAGAGAAAUGAAAUAACCCAGUAAAGCACCAAGAAGCAGAGACUAAACCU
Molecule: ribosomal RNA, 206 nt
Filed under: Naso elegans (elegant unicornfish)
Lineage: Eukaryota; Metazoa; Chordata; Actinopteri; Acanthuriformes; Acanthuridae
Description: partial 16S ribosomal RNA
Source: RNAcentral